AAACUUUGGAUGCACUAGUUAAGGGAGCAGUAUCGCAGGUAAGAUAUUGCAUUUUUCAUAUAAUUUAUAAUAUAUAAUCAUAUUUAUCACUUUAUAUUAUAAAUUAUAUAAAAAAUGCAAUAUCUAACCUGUGAUACUGCUCCCUCAGCUACUGCAUCCAAAGUUU
Paramuricea clavata is the source of this 166-nucleotide non-coding RNA. NCBI's taxonomy places the organism in Eukaryota, Metazoa, Cnidaria, Anthozoa, Malacalcyonacea, Plexauridae. The record is from the annotation of a GenBank genome assembly.